UCCCUGAUGGCCUAGUGAUUAGGACUCGGCACUUCCAUUGCCAGGGCCCAGGUUCAAUCCCUGGUCAGGGAA
This is a transfer RNA of Ovis aries (sheep), 72 nucleotides long. It matches the Rfam family "tRNA". Rfam says of the family: Transfer RNA (tRNA) molecules are approximately 80 nucleotides in length. Their secondary structure includes four short double-helical elements and three loops (D, anti-codon, and T loops). Further hydrogen bonds mediate the characteristic L-shaped molecular structure. tRNAs have two regions of fundamental functional importance: the anti-codon, which is responsible for specific mRNA codon recognition, and the 3' end, to which the tRNAs corresponding amino acid is attached (by aminoacyl-tRNA synthetases). tRNAs cope with the degeneracy of the genetic code in two manners: having more than one tRNA (with a specific anti-codon) for a particular amino acid; and 'wobble' base-pairing, i.e. permitting non-standard base-pairing at the 3rd anti-codon position. NCBI's taxonomy places the organism in Eukaryota, Metazoa, Chordata, Mammalia, Artiodactyla, Bovidae. The record is from Rfam.